GAUGAACGCUAGCGGCAGGCUUAAUACAUGCAAGUCAAGGGGGUAGCAAUACAACCGGCGCACGGGUGAGUAACGCGUACACAACAUACCAUAUACUGGAGUAUAGCUUUGGGAAACUGAAGGUAAUCCUCCAUAACAUUGCGAGAGGGCAUCUGAUUGCAAUUAAAGUUUCGGCGGUAUAUGAUUGGUGUGCGUUUGAUUAGCUAGUUGGUAGGGUAACGGCCUACCAAGGCGACGAUCAAUAGCUGGCGUGAGAGCGCGACCAGCCACACUGGAACUGAGACACGGUCCAGACUCCUACGGGAGGCAGCAGUAGGGAAU
Molecule: ribosomal RNA, 321 nt
Filed under: uncultured bacterium
Lineage: Bacteria
Description: bacterial SSU rRNA
Rfam family: Bacterial small subunit ribosomal RNA
Source: RNAcentral